Molecule: ribosomal RNA, 270 nt
Filed under: uncultured archaeon
Lineage: Archaea
Description: partial 16S ribosomal RNA
Rfam family: Archaeal small subunit ribosomal RNA
Source: RNAcentral
CUGCAGCCCGAGUGGUGACCGAUAUUAUUGAGCCUAAAGCGUCCGUAGCCGGUCUGGUAAAUUCUUGGGUAAAUCGGGCAGCUUAACUGUCCGACUUCCGAGGAGACUGCCAGACUUGGGACCGGGAGAGGUCAGAGGUACUCCAGGGGUAGGGGCUAAAUCCUGUAAUCCUUGAUAGACCACCUGUGGCGAAGGCGUCUGACUAGAACGGAUCUGACCGUGAGGGACGAAAGCCAGGGGAGCAAACCGGAUUAGAGACCCCCGUAGUCC